Molecule: long non-coding RNA, 234 nt
Filed under: Carica papaya (papaya)
Lineage: Eukaryota; Viridiplantae; Streptophyta; Magnoliopsida; Brassicales; Caricaceae
Description: long non-coding RNA (CPAP_LNC010924)
Source: RNAcentral
GAUAUUCGCGUCACGAUUUCGUUAGAGGGUACGCCGUCAUCUAUAGAGGCGGUCCUCUUAUGUCUUUCUAAACCAAAUGGGGGAAGAGGAAAACAAAUACCCCAGAUGGGGAUAGGGGAACAAAUACCCCUCAGAGAUAAAAAAAUCUAACGAGACACCUAAUGCAUUAUGCAUGUCAUCAAAGAUACAUACUUCAGACCAUUCAUGCUUCAUUCCACAUUUUUUUUCUUUUUU